AAAACUUUCAACAACGGAUCUCUUGGUUCUGGCAUCGAUGAAGAACGCAGCGAAAUGCGAUAAGUAAUGUGAAUUGCAG
RNAcentral lists this ribosomal RNA (79 nucleotides) under Trichoderma sp. F6. RNAcentral describes it as "5.8S ribosomal RNA". It matches the Rfam family "5.8S ribosomal RNA", at positions 1 to 77 of the family's 154-position model. From Rfam's summary of the family: 5.8S ribosomal RNA (5.8S rRNA) is a component of the large subunit of the eukaryotic ribosome. It is transcribed by RNA polymerase I as part of the 45S precursor that also contains 18S and 28S rRNA. The record is from RNAcentral. Lineage: Eukaryota; Fungi; Ascomycota; Sordariomycetes; Hypocreales; Hypocreaceae. RNAcentral also lists the same sequence under 2 other names.